UCACAUUGGAACUGAGACACGGUCCAAACUCCUACGGGAGGCAGCAGUGGGGAAUAUUGCACAAUGGGCGAAAGCCUGAUGCAGCAACGCCGCGUGAAGGAUGAAGGCUUUCGAGUCGUAAACUUCUGUCCUUGGGGAAGAAAAAAAUGACGGUACCCAUGGAGGAAGCCCCGGCUAACUACGUGCCAGCAGCCGCGGUAAUACGUAGGGGGCGAGCGUUAUCCGGAAUUAUUGGGCGUAAAGAGUGCGUAGGUGGUUCUUUAAGCGAGAGGUUUAAGGCUAUGGCUUAACCAUAGUUCGCCUCCCGAACUGAAGGACUUGAGUGCAGGAGGGGAAAGCGGAAUUCCUAGUGUAGCGGUGAAAUGCGUAGAUAUUAGGAGGAACACCAGUGGCGAAGGCGGCUUUCUGGACUGAAACUGACGCUGAGGCACGAAAGCUGGGGAUCAACGGAUUAGAUACCCUGGUAGUCCAUGCUGUAAACAUGAUGCUAUUUUCGGUCUGGGAUCGGUGACGGACUAACCCNNUAAGCAUUCCCCUGGGGGGUCCGGUC
This 550-nucleotide ribosomal RNA is filed under the name uncultured rumen bacterium. RNAcentral's name for it is "bacterial SSU rRNA". It matches the Rfam family "Bacterial small subunit ribosomal RNA", at positions 308 to 887 of the family's 1533-position model. The record is from RNAcentral.